Long non-coding RNA from Seriola dumerili (greater amberjack), 272 nucleotides. RefSeq lists it as uncharacterized. NCBI's taxonomy places the organism in Eukaryota, Metazoa, Chordata, Actinopteri, Carangiformes, Carangidae. The transcript is spliced from 4 exons. The record is from RefSeq and is a predicted model, not a curated record.
CCAGAUGGCGCCAGAUCACCACCAAUCACCAGGAGUCAAUCAAUUCAAUUUUUAUCAAUAAAACACACUGUGGAGACGGCCCUCUCUGAACAUCACACUCAACUGCGUCAGGACCAUGAAAGCAGGAUCAUGGCUCAAUCAGCAGGCCUCAGCUCUGACCACCUCCUGUCAUGUCACCUUUGCUGGACUACCUGGACAACACAUCACCUGGAACCCUCCACUUCUUCUUUGGCAGUCGGCCCUUCCACCUCCAACUGACUGGAACAGACUGG